AACGCUAGCUACAGGCUUAACACAUGCAAGUCGCGGGGCAGCAGGAAUUUUGCUUGCAAAAUUUGCUGGCGACCGGCGCACGGGUGAGUAACGCGUAUCCAACCUAGCCUUUACCACGGUAUAGCCCGGCGAAAGUCGGAUUAAUCCCGUAUGUAUUCCGAUGAUGACAUCAGAUUUGGAACAAAGGUUUAGCGGUAAGGGAUGGGGAUGCGUCCGAUUAGCUUGUUGGUGAGGUAACGGCUCACCAAGGCGACGAUCGGUAGGGGUUCUGAGAGGAAGGUCCCCCACACUGGAACUGAGACACGGUCCAGACUCCUACGGGAGGCAGCAGUGAGGAAUAUUGGUCAAUGGGCGCAAGCCUGAACCAGCCAAGUAGCGUGCAGGAAGACGGCCCUAUGGGUUGUAAACUGCUUUUAUGCGGGGAUAACGUUCGCUACGUGUAGCGUUUUGCAGGUACCGCAUGAAUAAGGACCGGCUAAUUCCGUGCCAGCAGCCGCGGUAAUACGGAAGGUCCAGGCGUUAUCCGGAUUUAUUGGGUUUAAAGGGAGCGUAGGCUGUUGAUUAAGCGUGCUGUGAAAUGUAGGCGCCCAACGUCUGCACUGCAGCGCGAACUGGUUGUCUUGAGUACGCUGAAAGUGGGCGGAAUUUGUGGUGUAGCGGUGAAAUGCUUAGAUAUCACGAAGAACUCCGAUUGCGAAGGCAGCCCACUGUGGCGUUACUGACGCUGAUGCUCGAAAGUGCGGGUAUCGAACAGGAUUAGAUACCCUGGUAGUCCGCACGGGAAUCGAUGGAUGCCCGCUGUGUGUGCGUUUUAGU
RNAcentral lists this ribosomal RNA (816 nucleotides) under uncultured bacterium. Its description in RNAcentral is "bacterial SSU rRNA". It matches the Rfam family "Bacterial small subunit ribosomal RNA", at positions 32 to 836 of the family's 1533-position model. The record is from RNAcentral.